GACGAACGCUGGCGGCGUGCUUAACACAUGCAAGUCGAACGGAAAGGCCCUGCUUUUGUGGGGUGCUCGAGUGGCGAACGGGUGAGUAACACGUGAGUAACCUGCCCUUGACCUUGGGAUAACUUCAGGAAACUGGGGCUAAUACCGGAUAGGAGCUCCUGCUGCAUGGUGGGGGUUGGAAAGUUUCGGCGGUUGGGGAUGGACUCGCGGCUUAUCAGCUUGUUGGUGGGGUAGUGGCUUACCCAGGCUUUGACGGGUAGCCGGCCUGAGAGGUUGACCGGCCACAUUGGGACUGAGAUACGGCCCAGACUCCUACGGGAGGCAGCAGUGGGGAAUAUUGCACAAUGGGCGGAAGCCUGAUGCAGCAACGCCGCGUGCGGGAUGACGGCCUUCGGGUUGUAAACCGCUUUCGCCUGUGACGAAGCGUGAGUGACGGUAAUGGGUAAAGAAGCACCGGCUAACUACGUG
RNAcentral lists this ribosomal RNA (468 nucleotides) under uncultured bacterium. Its description in RNAcentral is "partial 16S ribosomal RNA". It matches the Rfam family "Bacterial small subunit ribosomal RNA", at positions 28 to 507 of the family's 1533-position model. The record is from RNAcentral.